This 1448-nucleotide ribosomal RNA is filed under the name uncultured Streptomyces sp. RNAcentral describes it as "bacterial SSU rRNA". It matches the Rfam family "Bacterial small subunit ribosomal RNA". The record is from RNAcentral. Lineage: Bacteria; Bacillati; Actinomycetota; Actinomycetes; Kitasatosporales; Streptomycetaceae.
GACGAACGCUGGCGGCGUGCUUAACACAUGCAAGUCGAACGAUGAAGCCCUUCGGGGUGGAUUAGUAGCGAACGGGUGAGUAACACGUGGGCAAUCUGCCCUUCACUCUGGGACAAGCCCUGGAAACGGGGUCUAAUACCGGAUAACACCGGCUUCCGCAUGGGAGCUGGUUGAAAGCUCCGGCGGUGAAGGAUGAGCCCGCGGCCUAUCAGCUUGUUGGUGGGGUAAUGGCCUACCAAGGCGACGACGGGUAGCCGGCCUGAGAGGGCGACCGGCCACACUGGGACUGAGACACGGCCCAGACUCCUACGGGAGGCAGCAGUGGGGAAUAUUGCACAAUGGGCGAAAGCCUGAUGCAGCGACGCCGCGUGAGGGAUGACGGCCUUCGGGUUGUAAACCUCUUUCAGCAGGGAAGAAGCGAAAGUGACGGUACCUGCAGAAGAAGCGCCGGCUAACUACGUGCCAGCAGCCGCGGUAAUACGUAGGGCGCAAGCGUUGUCCGGAAUUAUUGGGYGUAAAGAGCUCGUAGGCGGCUUGUCACGUCGGGUGUGAAAGCCCGGGGCUUAACCCCGGGUCUGCAYCCGAUACGGGCAGGCUAGAGUGUGGUAGGGGAGAUCGGAAUUCCUGGUGUAGCGGUGAAAUGCGCAGAUAUCAGGAGGAACACCGGUGGCGAAGGCGGAUCUCUGGGCCAUUACUGACGCUGAGGAGCGAAAGCGUGGGGAGCGAACAGGAUUAGAUACCCUGGUAGUCCACGCCGUAAACGUUGGGAACUAGGUGUUGGCGACAUUCCACGUCGUCGGUGCCGCAGCUAACGCAUUAAGUUCCCCGCCUGGGGAGUACGGCCGCAAGGCUAAAACUCAAAGGAAAUGACGGGGGCCCGCACAAGCAGCGGAGCAUGUAGCUUAAUUCGACGCAGCGCGAAGAACCUUACCAAGGCUCGACAUAUACCGGAAAGCAUUAGAGAUAGUGCCCCCCUUGUGGUCGGUAUACAGGUGGUGCAUGGCUGUCGUCAGCUCGUGUCGUGAGAUGUUGGGUUAAGUCCCGCAACGAGCGCAACCCUUGUCCUGUGUUGCCAGCAUGCCCUUCGGGGUGAUGGGGACUCACAGGAGACCGCCGGGGUCAACUCGGAGGAAGGUGGGGACGACGUCAAGUCAUCAUGCCCCUUAUGUCUUGGGCUGCACACGUGCUACAAUGGCCGGUACAAAGAGCUGCGAUGCCGCGAGGCGGAGCGAAUCUCAAAAAGCCGGUCUCAGUUCGGAUUGGGGUCYGCAACUCGACCCCAUGAAGUCGGAGUUGCUAGUAAUCGCAGAUCAGCAUUGCUGCGGUGAAUACGUUCCCGGGCCUUGUACACACCGCCCGUCACGUCACGAAAGUCGGUAACACCCGAAGCCGGUGGCCCAACCCCUUGUGGGAGGGAGCUGUCGAAGGUGGGACUGGCGAUCGGGACG